UCGAGCGGGUCGAGUCAAGUCGUGUCACUCGUGUUGUGGCGCUGGCAGAGUGAAGACGGUCGUUCCUGUUGUCCAUUAGUCAGUGCCGGCAAGUAGUGGGUGUGUACAUACGGAUCUCGUUGGACCUCCCGACGCGCAAAUAGACGCACGAGCUCUCUAAUUAAGUAAACACCAGUCAUGGGAGGGUAUGCAUGGGUUACACUGGCUACAAACGAUGCCUAUUCUUUGGGAGCAUUGGUCUUGGCGCACUCCCUACGUCGAGUUGGCACCAAAUAUGAGCUGGCUUGUCUCGUCACUCCUGGAGUUACAGCAGCGAUGAGAGAAAAAUUGGCGGCUGUAUUCUCCUUGGUGCAGGAAGUUAAUGUCCUCGAUUCGAAGGACGAGGCAAAUUUGGCUUUACUGGCUAGACCAGAAUUGGGCAUCACUUUUACUAAAUUACAUUGUUGGAGACUAACUCAAUACGAGAAAUGUGUAUUCGUCGAUGCAGAUGCGCUUGUGGUACGAAAUUGCGAUGAGCUAUUCGAGCGCGAGGAAUUAUCAGCUGCGCCCGAUGUUGGUUGGCCCGAUUGCUUCAAUUCCGGAGUAUUUGUGUUCAGACCAUCUCAACAAACAUUUGCGUCAAUCACCGCAUUUGCUGCAGCCAAAGGAUCGUUCGACGGCGGCGAUCAAGGCUUAUUAAACAUGUACUUCAGUGAUUGGGCUUCUAAGGAUAUCUCCAAACAUCUACCAUUUAUUUACAACAUGUGUUCCACGGCGACGUACUCGUAUCUGCCCGCAUUUAAGCAAUUCGGCGACGAUGUGCGAAUAAUACACUUUAUUGGCAUAACGAAACCCUGGCUACAGUAUUUCGAUACCUUAACCGGUGUCGUUCAACCACCGUCAGGAUCUAUGCAUUUGCAACCGCUGUUGCAAUUGUGGUGGAACAUAUUUUGCGAGCAAGUGCAUCCACAGUUAUCGCCCUCUAUGGCCACCAGCACAUUGGCUCCAAUUUGGCACGUAUUUGCUCCCUCGUUUUACGUACCUUCCGUUUCCAAUAUUUCCACUUACUCCGAUGCAAUAGACGAUGGUAACGUUUAUUCUCGAGCACCAGAUUUCUCGGAAUUUAAAGAUCCUUGGGAAGAAUAUUCUCCGCAGAACGAUUCGUUUCCAACCGAUAACAGUAGUGCACUGAAUGACAAGAAUGAUAAUUAUUAUGGUGGAGCAGGAUAUGAGAAAGAGGCUGCGGAUGUUGGUCAAAAUGAUCACAAUACAUCUCAAUUUGAACGCAAUCAACAAUUUCAUUGCGAGCAAUAUUUUUGUGUGCCUAUACAAACACAACAUAAUUCUUCUACAAAUAAUGAACAUAAUCAACAAUUUCAUUGCGAGCAAUAUUCUUGUGUGCCUAUACAAACACAACAUAAUCUUUCUACAAAUAAUGAACAUAAUCAACACCGAGAACAUGCAACUUUUCAUUCUGAAGAAAAUCAUAGUCAAAGACAACCCGUACAACACACUGAGUAUCAUUGGCAACAAUAUAGUGAUCAAAGACAUCAAUUUCAGCCGAGUGAACAGAGACACUAUCCUGAGCAUUGGCACGAAGAGCAAAAACAGCAUAAUGAACAAUAUCAGCAACAUCAUUAUGAAGAAAGACAUCAUGUGCCACGCCAUUAUAACGAACAGAAACAACAUAGCGAGCAUCAUCAGCAUUCUGAACAAUCUCAACAACAUGAUUAUUAUAAAAUGGAUCCUCAUCAUGUCCACCAUCAAUCGGUUCACGAACAACAUUCUACCGAAACGUGGCACGAAAAUCAUACGCAACAUACUAGUGAUCAAACUAGCCAUCGAGAUUAUCGAGAUCAUACUGUUUCUCAUAAUGAUUCUCAUCCGCAGCAUCAUAUCCAAAAUAAUGCUCAAGAUAAUUUUACAUCUCAUUAUCGUCAAAGUAACGAGAAAAAUAGCGAACAAUUCUCGGAAACUGCGAAUAAGCAGAUAGAAACGCGGAGAAUCGAUUUCCAUCCUUCCUCUCCUGCACCUUAUACAGAUCUCCGCAAUGUAGCCAUGCGAUCUGACCCGAAUAUAACGGAACAUCUAGACAAUGCAAAUACGGGCAUCGCUGGUGCCUUGGCUCAGUUGACAUUGGGCGAAGCGAGAAGCGUCGAGCAAAUAGCCUUUGAGGAGCAUAUGAGGAAGCAGAGCUGGGAACAAGGCCAGAUCGACUAUAUGGGUCGCGAUAGCUUUGACAAUAUAUGGAAGAAGAUCUGUGAGACACUUUCUCUUGCGCCGCAACGUCAGUCAUCUCCACCUAAAGAGGAUGCUGCUGAGCCAAAGGAAAGCGCUGCUACUGUUGAAUCCGUUGAGCUAAAGACUGUUACACCUAUAGAUGUCGAAGUGAAAGAACCAGUUGGAACAGAGGACAGCAACUAACAGAUCCUGGCGCCAUAGCAUUGCUGCGUCUUGUAUUGUCGUUUUGCUUUAAUGGGUUGAGGCGGACAAAGAUUUAACGCAAUCUCUAGUAUGCGAAGCUUCUGAGGAGAAGCUUUCGGCGGC
RNAcentral lists this unclassified non-coding RNA (2526 nucleotides) under Camponotus floridanus (Florida carpenter ant). RNAcentral's name for it is "neurofilament heavy polypeptide, transcript variant X3". The record is from RNAcentral. Lineage: Eukaryota; Metazoa; Arthropoda; Insecta; Hymenoptera; Formicidae.